UAACUUUUCUCCUGGCAACUACCCAGCCUCAGUAUAAUUAACUUUUUUCUUUCUUUUUUUCUUCCUCUUUUACCAACCACCAAGCAAUGACAUUCUCUGAUGAAUGAGUUGCCUGUGUCUGUCUUGCUGGCAGGUAUUUCACAAAAAAGACAUGCCAUUACUGGAAGAGUGUAAGGCAGAUGUGGAAAACUGGAAGCCCGUGGGUGGAUUUACCACAAGCAAUAUGAUUUUAAAGGUUGAGCUUGCAUUGACAAAAUCAAGAGAUUUCCCAGGAAAAUCCAUAUCUCUGCCUUUUCUUGAAAAUUAGAAGACGCAGAGAUGGUGGGCCUGGGUUCCCAUCUGGCAACAGUAGACUGGGCCUGCCCCCCUGGUUUGCCAGGGCCUUGUACUUCAUCUUAUCUCUUACCAAUUACCACUGUGUAGCUCUGAUAUUUUUCCUAUAAUAGAGAAAUAUUUCCCUGUAUCCGAAUGUUAUGGAUUGAAAAUGGCUGCAAAUUCUAAUUCAUUCCUCUGUCAGGAAGUGAAGUCUGUUUUCUCUCCUCCUGAAUAAGGGCUGGCCUGUGACUUGUUUUGUCUGACGGAAUGUGGGAGAAGUGAGGCUGUCUAACUUCUGAACCCUAAAGCCUCUGCUUUCACAUACUUGGAACACUCUGUCUUGGAACCCAGCCAUCAUGCUGGGUGAAACCCAAGCCACGUACAGAGGCCACCCGGAAAGAACUGGAGAACUCCAUUCUACAACCCCACGUGAGCUCCCGGCCAGCAGCCAACCCAUCUGUCAGCCAGAACCAUCAAAGGACCAAAGAGGUUAAAAUCUAUCUCAGCAUAGAACCAAGAUAGAUCAAGAUCAAGAUGCAGAGGUGCCUUCAAGCCAAUGUUCUCAGAGUACCUGUGUAAACUCCCAAAGCUUAGCGUCAACCACAGAGAAGAGAGGAAUGGGACAAUCCUGAGUCUGACUGACUUCACUGGAUAUAGAAGGUCUUAUGGAAUUGCAUUGAGGAAGAAUAAUAGAAUAGGAGGAAAAUGAAGAGAAGAAGGUAGAUGGGGAUCCUCAAAGCAUUUUGCACACAUUCAAUAAAGGAAAGUGGCAUUAAAACAGCCCCCUCC
Long non-coding RNA from Choloepus didactylus (southern two-toed sloth), 1104 nucleotides. RefSeq lists it as uncharacterized. The transcript has 3 exons. The record is from RefSeq and is a predicted model, not a curated record. NCBI's taxonomy places the organism in Eukaryota, Metazoa, Chordata, Mammalia, Pilosa, Megalonychidae.